GCUUGGUGGAUCAGUGGCGAACGGGUGAGUAACACGUGAGCAACCUGCCCUGGACUCUGGGAUAAGCGCUGGAAACGGCGUCUAAUACUGGAUAUGAGACGUGAUCGCAUGGUCGUGUUUGGAAAGAUUUUUCGGUCUGGGAUGGGCUCGCGGCCUAUCAGCUUGUUGGUGAGGUAAUGGCUCACCAAGGCGUCGACGGGUAGCCGGCCUGAGAGGGUGACCGGCCACACUGGGACUGAGACACGGCCCAGACUCCUACGGGAGGCAGCAGUGGGGAAUAUUGCACAAUGGGCGAAAGCCUGAUGCAGCAACGCCGCGUGAGGGAUGACGGCCUUCGGGUUGUAAACCUCUUUUAGCAGGGAAGAAGCGAAAGUGACGGUACCUGCAGAAAAAGCGCCGGCUAACUACGUGCCAGCAGCCGCGGUAAUACGUAGGGCGCAAGCGUUAUCCGGAAUUAUUGGGCGUAAAGAGCUCGUAGGCGGUUUGUCGCGUCUGCUGUGAAAUCCCGAGGCUCAACCUCGGGCCUGCAGUGGGUACGGGCAGACUAGAGUGCGGUAGGGGAGAUUGGAAUUCCUGGUGUAGCGGUGGAAUGCGCAGAUAUCAGGAGGAACACCGAUGGCGAAGGCAGAUCUCUGGGCCGUAACUGACGCUGAGGAGCGAAAGGGUGGGGAGCAAACAGGCUUAGAUACCCUGGUAGUCCACCCCGUAAACGUUGGGAACUAGUUGUGGGGACCAUUCCACGGUUUCCGUGACGCAGCUAACGCAUUAAGUUCCCCGCCUGGGGAGUACGGCCGCAAGGCUAAAACUCAAAGGAAUUGACGGGGACCCGCACAAGCGGCGGAGCAUGCGGAUUAAUUCGAUGCAACGCGAAGAACCUUACCAAGGCUUGACAUAUACGAGAACGGGCCAGAAAUGGUCAACUCUUUGGACACUCGUAAACAGGUGGUGCAUGGUUGUCGUCAGCUCGUGUCGUGAGAUGUUGGGUUAAGUCCCGCAACGAGCGCAACCCUCGUUCUAUGUUGCCAGCACGUAAUGGUGGGAACUCAUGGGAUACUGCCGGGGUCAACUCGGAGGAAGGUGGGGAUGACGUCAAAUCAUCAUGCCCCUUAUGUCUUGGGCUUCACGCAUGCUACAAUGGCCGGUACAAAGGGCUGCAAUACCGUGAGGUGGAGCGAAUCCCAAAAAGCCGGUCCCAGUUCGGAUUGAGGUCUGCAACUCGACCUCA
RNAcentral lists this ribosomal RNA (1225 nucleotides) under Microbacterium testaceum. Its description in RNAcentral is "bacterial SSU rRNA". It matches the Rfam family "Bacterial small subunit ribosomal RNA", at positions 82 to 1320 of the family's 1533-position model. Lineage: Bacteria; Bacillati; Actinomycetota; Actinomycetes; Micrococcales; Microbacteriaceae. The record is from RNAcentral.